AAUAGAUACCCAGGUAGUCCACGCCGUAAACGGUGGGCGCUAGGUGUGGGGACUUUCCACGUCCUCUGUGCCGCAGCUAACGCAUUAAGCGCCCCGCCUGGGGAGUACGGCCGCAAGGCUAAAACUCAAAGGAAUUGACGGGGGCCCGCACAAGCGGCAGAGCAUGUGGCUUAAUUCGACGCAACGCGAAGAACCUUACCAAGGCUUGACAUGCAGGGAAAUCUCGUAGAGAUACGGGGUCCGCAAGGGCUCUGCACAGGUGGUGCAUGGUUGUCGUCAGCUCGUGUCGUGAGAUGUUGGGUUAAGUCCCGCAACGAGCGCAACCCUUGUCCUAUGUUGCCAGCGAGUAAUGUCGGGGACUCAUAGGAGACUGCCGGGGUCAACUCGGAGGAAGGUGGGGAUGACGUCAAAUCAUCAUGCCCCUUAUGUCUUGGGCUGCACACAUGCUACAAUGGUCGGUACAAAGGGCUGCGAGACCGCAAGGUGGAGCGAAUCCCAAAAAGCCGGCCUCAGUUCGGAUUGGGGU
This 526-nucleotide ribosomal RNA is filed under the name uncultured bacterium. Its description in RNAcentral is "bacterial SSU rRNA". It matches the Rfam family "Bacterial small subunit ribosomal RNA", at positions 777 to 1304 of the family's 1533-position model. The record is from RNAcentral.